CCAGAGUUUAACUGUUACGGAGUUCUCUAUGCUACAAUUUUGUUGAGUUCAUAUUUCAGGGGCCCUGCUGCUGUGUACGGUGGCCUUCAGCCAGGACGUGUCUUGGCCCUGGCCGUGAGAGCCAUCUGGGCUGGGUGAGGCUGUGCCCACCUCAGAGGUGGGGCCAAGGACCUCUGUCUUCUCUGGUGGAAAGAGCCCUUCUCAGGGUCUAAACAGAAACAUGGGAGCUUUUGUGAAACCAUUAUAAUCUCCUGGGAACAGAAGCUUAAGGGUUUUAGUCUCUUGAUUUUUAGUAUUAAGGAGUUUGGGAUUGUAUGCAUACAUCAAAACUCAGUCUUUCUUGGCUAUAUAUUUUAUAGCUUUAAAACUCCUAUAUUAAAUAACCCUUCCAAUACUGCUACAAAUUAAAAACCUGGACCAAGUGGACCUCAACUAACUACUGCAGCCACCCCUGCUGGGGGCAAGCCAGAGCCCACUAAAACAGGACAUUUGGCUACAUUUACAGGGCUGUUUAAAUGAUUUGAAGCAACAGAUGUGUAUAUUGACUUGGAAGGUUUUGCAGGAAACUGUGUUUCAGUACUUAAAUAGCAUACUGUAAGGGCUGACCUUGAUCCAAGGGGUCACAAAUGUCACCUCGUUGGGAGGUGUCUUUUCCAGGAUCUACGUUAUAAUUAUGAUCUCCUUGGAAGCACCAGGGGAGAAAUUCCAGAUGGUUUUGCAAGGAUAAAGUGAGAGCAAAUGAACAUCCAGGUUAUGUAUUCUUACUCUAUUAAUUUCUACUUGAACUCAUUUUUAAUGUGUUUUUACUAAUAUUAAGAAAAUAAGCCAUGAUAUAAAGUGUUGGAAAGGAAAACCCUGACUGCACACCCCAGCCCCGUAACAGAACACAGAAACGCGCAGGGCCUUUUCCCUUCUGUCUGCCUUUCCGGCCUCUGGACACAGAAACGCGCGGGGCCUUUUCCCUUCUGUCUGCCUUUCCGGCCUCUUGACAUGGAAACACGCGGAGCGUUUUCCCUUCUGUCUUCCUUUCCGGCCUGUUGACAUGGAAACGCGCGGAGCCUUUUCCCUUCUGUCUGCCUUUCCGGCCUGUUGACGUGGAAACGCGCGGGGCCUUUUCCCUUCUGUCUGCCUUUCCGGCCUGUUGACGUGGAGACGCGCGGGGCCUUUUCCCUUCUGUCUGCCUUUCCGGCCUGUUGACGUGGAGACGCGCGGGGCCUUUUCCCUUCUGUCUGCCUUUCCGGCCUGUUGACGUGGAGACGCGCGGGGCGUUUUCCCUUCUGUCUGCCUUUCCGGCCUGUUGACGUGGAGACGCGCGGGGCCUUUUCCCUUCUGUCUGCCUUUCCGGCCUGUUGACGUGGAGACGCGCGGGGCCUUUUCCCUUCUGUCUGCCUUUCCGGCCUGUUGACGUGGAGACGCGCGGGGCCUUUUCCCUUCUGUCUGCCUUUCCGGCCUGUUGACGUGGAGACGCGCGGGGCCUUUUCCCUUCUGUCUGCCUUUCCGGCCUGUUGACGUGGAGACGCGCGGGGCCUUUUCCCUUCUGUCUGCCUUUCCGGCCUGUUGACGUGGAGACGCGCGGGGCGUUUUCCCUUCUGUCUGCCUUUCCGGCCUGUUGACGUGGAGACGCGCGGGGCGUUUUCCCUUCUGUCUGCCUUUCCGGCCUGUUGACGUGGAGACGCGCGGGGCCUUUUCCCUUCUGUCUGCCUUUCCGGCCUGUUGACGUGGAGACGCGCGGGGCCUUUUCCCUUCUGUCUGCCUUUCCGGCCUGUUGACGUGGAGACGCGCGGGGCCUUUUCCCUUCUGUCUGCCUUUCCGGCCUGUUGACGUGGAGACGCGCGGGGCCUUUUCCCUUCUGUCUGCCUUUCCGGCCUGUUGACGUGGAGACGCGCGGGGCCUUUUCCCUUCUGUCUGCCUUUCCGGCCUGUUGACGUGGAGACGCGCGGGGCCUUUUCCCUUCUGUCUGCCUUUCCGGCCUGUUGACACGGAGACGCGCGGGGCCUUUUCCCUUCUGUCUUCCUUUCCGGCCUCUUGACGUAGUCUACUUUUACUCAGCUCCUGUCAUAGUGCUUGUAAGACCCCAGAAGUGACAAGAGGGCAGGAAACUUCUGGCUCACGCCAGCACGGUAACCACUGCUUCUGUCCGUCUCCUCGACAGUCCGCACACCACUGCACAAGGCAGCGGUUUAUCUUUUUAAUUCUCUGCUUCAUUGGCAUAGCCUUGACUGGCAAACA
This 2229-nucleotide long non-coding RNA is filed under the name Homo sapiens (human). RNAcentral's name for it is "non-protein coding lnc-ACP1-3:1". The record is from RNAcentral. Lineage: Eukaryota; Metazoa; Chordata; Mammalia; Primates; Hominidae.